This 222-nucleotide unclassified non-coding RNA is filed under the name uncultured Actinomycetes bacterium. RNAcentral's name for it is "uncultured actinobacterium contains 16S-23S intergenic spacer region". The record is from RNAcentral. Lineage: Bacteria; Bacillati; Actinomycetota; Actinomycetes.
UCCGAGUUGUCCCCGGCAGUCCUCUUAGAGUCCCCAGCAUUACCUGAUGGCAACUAAGAGCAGGGGUUGCGCUCGUUGCGGCACUUAAGCCAACACCUCACGGCACGAGCUGACGACAGCCAUGCAGCACCUGUGCUAGCCCCUUACGGACACGGGCUUUCACCCGCUUUAACUAGCAUGUCAAACCCAGGUAAGGUGGGGAUGACGUCACACGCAAUAACA